This 47-nucleotide ribosomal RNA is filed under the name Ophiocordyceps nutans. RNAcentral's name for it is "partial 26S ribosomal RNA". Lineage: Eukaryota; Fungi; Ascomycota; Sordariomycetes; Hypocreales; Ophiocordycipitaceae. RNAcentral also lists the same sequence under 2 other names. The record is from RNAcentral.
UUGACCUCGGAUCAGGUAGGACUACCCGCUGAACUUAAGCAUAUCAA